This 2362-nucleotide long non-coding RNA is filed under the name Olea europaea subsp. europaea. Lineage: Eukaryota; Viridiplantae; Streptophyta; Magnoliopsida; Lamiales; Oleaceae. The record is from RNAcentral.
UACUCGUAGCACUUCUAGCAUCAGAAAAUAAAGCUGAUAAAUCCUCAGAGGGUAGCUGCUUAUUGUACAUGAUGAAAGGAAUUUUGGGUAAUUUCUGCAGGACUUUUUGUCCAACAUGCCAUAUUGUUUCUUGAGUUUGUCUGUUGCCUUCCGAGCAUAAGAAUCAACUCAGUCUUUGUACUUUUCAUACAACAAUGGCAUGGUCAAGAGCAUCCCAAAUACUGCCAGCAUAGAAAUACGAGGCACUGUUAUAAAUAUGCUAAAGAUGCCAAACUGAUGUACUUUGUGCAUUUUUUUGUUUGCUCUCUCUUCUCUGCCUCCUCUUCCUCGUCCCUUUUUUUCCUAGUAGACUAGUUUCUUUACUCAAAAACAAAAAAUGGAAAAAUCUCCUCAUCUUCCAGGGUACCGAUUUGGCCCCCCCUGUUGGGGGGGGGGGGGGGGGUGAUCCUCCAAUCUAACUUUGCAUCAUCCUGGUUCCUACUACUGCUGAAAAAACAUUCUGUACAUUGUGUUAACAUAACUAAAUAAAAUUCUGCACACUCCAAAAUGCUGUCCAGAGUUCUAGUAACCCUUUUUACCUCUCACAAACUCAAAAGUUAAAAGCAAAACAAAUAAAAAAGGGAAAAAAGGAGCAGCAUAUGCUAAAAGAUCUCGUCUCGAAUGAGGGUUGACAGGAAGAAUACUCGCUGAUGUAUACUAGGGUCAAGAAGUCGAACCAGCUGCCGACUGGUGACUGUAGACGCAACCCACAAGCCGAAAACCGCCUGCAUUUCAGUUUAAUAUAAACUUUAUUAUCAUAAAAGUUCGAUGUGACAGUGGGGCUUGGGAAUAGAACCCAGAUCCAGUACGAAAUCCCUGUACAUAUCUUAAGAAAUAAAGGUUGAAGCCCAAUUUUGAGGGCCCUCACCGUUACACCCCUAGAACUUUAUAUCUUAAGAAAUAUCAAAUAUGUGACAGAGCUCAUUAGGUGAAAAAUGUACACAGAUAUAUCUUCAAAUCAUUUCCUUAAGCUACUUAGUGAAAGAUACCAAUUGCCUGGUUACAUCUAUUCCUCAAUAAGAGUGCAAUAUUCGUGCACAAGUCACCUGGUAAUACAAUCUGUGGAAAGUUCAAAGCCGACCUAACCAUAGAACCUAGUAAAAAACACACAAGUAUGAAUCAAUAUGGCAACGAACAGCACAAAAUAGAUAAAAAGAAACUGUAUAGUCACUUCCUAUUGAUAAUACUAGAGUAGAGAAAAAUGAUAUGAACCAUGUAACAAUGAACAGGACAAAAUGAAGAAAAAAGAUUCGUAUAACCUCGACCUAUCAAUGGUACUAAGUAGGGAAAAACAUAGUACGAUCAAUGAAUGCAAUGUAAUGGUGAAAAAGAAGAAGAAGAUUUAUUUAGCCCGUCAGACCUAUCCAUAAUACAAAGAAGGGAAAGACGAUGGUAUGGAAUGACGAUGCGAUGAACUACACAUAAUGAUUAAAGAGAAAUCAUGGAGUUGAUCUCAAAAUUGAUUAACGGAAGAUACUCACCGGUUAACGGAGUAGGACAACUGACAAGUUGGACCAUAAGAAGGACUAGCCAAAGAAAGAAUAAGAGAAUGACAAAGAAAAGUUAUCAAAUGAUAGCCUAUCCAUUCAAACAGAAGCCAUAUAACAAUUGAACCAGCAAGCAAACCUCCAGACUUCUGCUUGUUCCUUCGAAGUACAACGUCCGCAGCUGCAAAAUUAACCGUUGCCCACAUUUUUGUUCGAAUUUAUUUCUAGUCUAGAAUGAAAUUUUUUCGAAUUUCAGAUUCGUCUAGGUUUGUAAAAAUACGUAGUGACCAGAAGGGAAAAGUCAAUGUUAACCUCAACAAUAAUGGCCUAUGGUCGACUUCUAACCAUGGAUAUUAACUUACGUUUGCCACCGCUGAAAGCCUUAUGAAUCAGUUUCUGGCAGCCGAAAAGAUGAAACUUCUCCUGACUUGUAUGUUCAUCAUUGGUGGUGGAAGAAGAGGGAAAAGAAUAGUAAUGGCCAUGGCCAUUAUCAAGCCCGAAUUCAUGAACCUCUUCCAUUGAAGAAUAUUCAGAACAGUUCCAAUUUCAUCACCUGUUACUGGAUCCAACAUCUUAGUUCUUCCUGCACUGAAAUGAAAUCCAAGAAAUAUAAAUGGAAAUUUCCUAAAAAACUUCAAAGAUGCAUGAAACUUUAUAUCUUUCAGCAUUCACACACAUUUGCAUGCAGCAUCUUAAAGAUCAAAGAAAAAUUCACACACAGAGUAACAUGCACGAAAAUUUCAGAAAAUUGAUGGGUUUUGCCCCUUGAGAUUUGGAGUAGUACUUUGGGUUUAGUUAUUAAUUAUUAUUGAAGAUCUCUAAUUUGGAAGAAUUUU